Molecule: ribosomal RNA, 270 nt
Filed under: uncultured archaeon
Lineage: Archaea
Description: partial 16S ribosomal RNA
Rfam family: Archaeal small subunit ribosomal RNA
Source: RNAcentral
CAGCACCUCAAGUGGUCAGGAUGAUUAUUGGGCCUAAAGCAUCCGUAGCCGGCUCCGUAAGUUUUCGGUUAAAUCUGUAUGCUCAACAUACAGGCUGCCGGGAAUACUGCAGAGCUAGGGAGUGGGAGAGGUAGACGGUACUCGGUAGGAAGGGGUAAAAUCCUUUGAUCUAUUGAUGACCACCUGUGGCGAAGGCGGUCUACCAGAACACGUCCGACGGUGAGGGAUGAAAGCUGGGGGAGCAAACCGGAUUAGAUACCCGAGUAGUCC